RNAcentral lists this long non-coding RNA (323 nucleotides) under Capsella rubella. Its description in RNAcentral is "long non-coding RNA (CRUB_LNC003037)". Lineage: Eukaryota; Viridiplantae; Streptophyta; Magnoliopsida; Brassicales; Brassicaceae. The record is from RNAcentral.
CGAGGAAGCUGACGAGAAAGAAUAUGAGAUUAAAGAAGGUGAUCUCAGUGUAGUAUCGAUUUGGAUCGUUUCUGAUGAGAAAUAAAGAACAAAAACAACGAAUGCCCAGACAGAGAGAGAAGCGAUGAACAAAAAGGUUAGUCUUUACUCUAAGGUUAUUUUGGUUUUUUUUUUUUUUGUUAAUGGAUCCAGCAGGCCCAUUUGAUUUCAUGUGAAUAAUACCCAAUAUUAUUGUGAACAAAGAAUAUUUAAAAAUUGUAAAGAAAAUUUACUAUUAUUUUUGUCUGUGAAGAUGGGGACUACCUGCACCUGGACACCCCGCU